RNAcentral lists this ribosomal RNA (252 nucleotides) under uncultured bacterium. Its description in RNAcentral is "partial 16S ribosomal RNA". It matches the Rfam family "Bacterial small subunit ribosomal RNA", at positions 524 to 776 of the family's 1533-position model. The record is from RNAcentral.
UACAGAGGGUGCGAGCGUUGUUCGGAAUUAUUGGGCGUAAAGGGCGCGUAGGCGGUGCGGUAAGUCACCUGUGAAAUCUCCUGGCUCAACUGGGAGCUUGCAGGCGAAACUGCCGUGCUGGAGUGUGGGAGAGGUGCGUGGAAUUCCUGGUGUAGCGGUGAAAUGCGUAGAUAUCAGGAGGAACACCGAUGGCGAAGGCAGGUCACUGGGCCGCAACUGACGCUGAGGAGCGAAAGCUGGGGAGCGAACAGG